RNAcentral lists this transfer RNA (82 nucleotides) under Sphaerisporangium krabiense. RNAcentral describes it as "tRNA-Ile". Lineage: Bacteria; Bacillati; Actinomycetota; Actinomycetes; Streptosporangiales; Streptosporangiaceae. The record is from RNAcentral.
GAGGCGUUUGGGCAGGUAGACGGCCUGGGCGUCGAUGCCGCCCGUGAGGAUCCUGCCGCCGUUCGGCGCGGUGACGUUGUAC